Molecule: transfer RNA, 27 nt
Filed under: Micrurus surinamensis
Lineage: Eukaryota; Metazoa; Chordata; Lepidosauria; Squamata; Elapidae
Description: partial tRNA-Leu
Source: RNAcentral
CUCUCUACCAAAGGAUAAAGUUAUUCC